AGCCAAAGCCGGGAAUCGAACCCGUAUCUAUCGCUUAGAAGGCGAUCGUUCUGAUCCAUUAAACUACAUUGGC
This 73-nucleotide transfer RNA is filed under the name Harvfovirus sp. RNAcentral describes it as "tRNA-Arg". The record is from RNAcentral. Lineage: Varidnaviria; Bamfordvirae; Nucleocytoviricota; Megaviricetes; Imitervirales; Mimiviridae.